UACGGAGGGUGCGAACGUUAAUCGGAAUCACUGGGCGUAAAGCGCGCGUAGGCGGUUCGUUAAGUGGGAUGUGAAAUCCCCGGGCUUAACCUGGGAAUUGCAUUUCAAACUGGCCGACUAGAGUACGGUAGAGGGAGGUAGAAUUUCCUGUGUAGCGGUGAAAUGCGUAGAUAUAGGAAGGAAUACCAGUGGCGAAAGCGGCUUCCUGGACCAGUACUGACGUUCAUGUGCGAAAGCGUGGGGAGCAAACAGG
This 253-nucleotide ribosomal RNA is filed under the name uncultured bacterium. RNAcentral describes it as "partial 16S ribosomal RNA". It matches the Rfam family "Bacterial small subunit ribosomal RNA", at positions 524 to 776 of the family's 1533-position model. The record is from RNAcentral.